UGGGGGAUAUUGCACAAUGGGCGAAAGCCUGAUGCAGCGACGCCGCGUGGGGGAUGAAGGCCUUCGGGUUGUAAACUUCUUUUGCUCUGAACAAGGCGCACCAUGGGGUGUGUUGAGUGUAGGGGUUGAUUAGCGCCGGCUAACUACGUGCCAGCAGCCGCGGUAAUACGUAGGGCGCGAGCGUUGUCCGGAAUUAUUGGGCGUAAAGGGCUUGUAGGUGGCUGGUUGCGUCUGUCGUGAAAGCUCAUGGCUUAACUGUGGGUUUGCGGUGGGUACGGGCUGGCUGAAGUGCAGUAGGGAGGGCUGGAUUUCCUGGUGUGGCGGUGGAAUGGGAGAAUAUAAGAGGGAUUACGGGUGGCGAAGGGGGGUCUUUGGGCUGUUCCUGACACUGAGAGGCGAAGGAAUGGGAGCGAACAGG
This 418-nucleotide ribosomal RNA is filed under the name bacterium. RNAcentral describes it as "partial 16S ribosomal RNA". It matches the Rfam family "Bacterial small subunit ribosomal RNA", at positions 355 to 776 of the family's 1533-position model. The record is from RNAcentral.